GCGAGGGCUCCAUCGCGGUGCAUGUGGGCACCAGGCACGAUGCCAGCGGCUGCAAGGGCGGCGCCGAGCCUGCCUACGACGCGCUGUCGCCCCUGGCGGCCGCCCGCCGCAUGGGCUCCGACGCGGCGGCGCUGCUGCCGGGUGUGCUGCUGGUGCACGGCACUGCGGACAAGACCGUGCCGUGUGAGGGCAGCGCGCGGCUGGCGGAGGCGCUGCAGGUAGGGUGGGGCGGGCAGUGGCACUUGUGGUCAUGUGCACUCUUGAAUGCGAGCACACACCGUCACACAUAACUUAUGUAGCUGACCGCGUACACGUGUCCCUACUCGCAGACUGCCGGCGCCACCCGUCCUGUGCGCUGCUUGCUUGUGCCCGGCAAGACGCACACGGCCUUCCUGCUGGAGGACCCCAUGCGUGGAGGCCGCGACCUGCUCAUGGACUGCGUGCUGGGGGCCGUGCUAGGGGGAGGCGAGGGCGAGGGCGACACGGGCAAGCCGGUUGUGAGCGUGCUGUCGGCCGAAGACGCCGCGCCGCCUGGUGUGAGGCACGUUUACGGUACCCUGUGCCCUGGCUUCCUGUGCGACUGGGCGGGCUGGGUGUGCCCGUUCUGAGCGCCAGCCGGUCAUUCACUCCGAGGCGCGUGCCGAUGACGCUGAUGCGUCCUGAGGGCACCGUUGGGCAGUUGUCAAGGCUGGCCAGAGUGCUGUAUGCAGUCUAUCCAUACCGUCUGAACUACAAUACGCGGAUUGACCCGCUAUGUAUGUUGGAGUGCCAGAGUGCGUGGUCGAGAUGGGGGACUUAGCCGACAUGCGUGACGUUCAUCAGGCGGGCACUGCAGCGCAUGUGAAAGGAGCGUGUAGGGUAUAGACUAGCAGCACGCUUCGCUGAGGUAUGCCAAAUAGAGCAGCUGGCAUUUCGUGUGACUACACUGCGCAUGCCCUUCGUGUAGAGCGGGUUAUUCUUGCAGUGGCAUUUUGAUUACGUUUGUACUCGCCUGACACGAUCCUGGUCAUCGGCAUUCUUUCUUUGAGGUAUCGCUUAUUGCGUUAGUACUGGGUAUGGCUGACUACGCCAACGAGUAGUGUCGGUGGGGUGCGGCUGCCUGACAGCCAUUGCUGCAGGUGGCUGCCUGGAGCAGAACGCGCGACAUGUGUGUGUACGGUAGCCUCGCCGUUUCUUGUCUGGUAGCCUUGGGUCGAUGUUGAUUGACGUUCUUGGGUUCCAUGUGGGCAGGGUGUGCUGGAGUCCUGGUAGGAGAGGUGGGGAGUGCCUGAAGGCAGGAUGAGGCGGCUCUGUGCGCCUGUGCGAGUUCGGUGUAGGUGACGCUAGGUGGCUCAGGAGUUAGGGGGGUUGUGGCUUAGGGGGAUGUGCGGCCGAGCACAGUGCGGUUCGCAACGCCAGAGCAGACCUCCGUGCGGAGCGUUGCGGGAGUCUGUAUUGUUGCACAGAGUAGCGCAUGAUGCGGCAUGCACGGGCAAACGGCAUUUUGCUGAAUCAGAGAAUUCAACCCGCCUGACUAGUUCACACAGCUGCUGGAGUCGUACGAAUUGCGCGUGGGCUGCGGCAGUUGGGCAGUCAGGCCCCAAUAGUCGCGCAUGCACCUGCUGGGCUGGGCCCGGAGUUGUGCACUUUGGUGCAAUAUCGGCUACUUAACCCGGACUUGUGACGCGGGGGGCCUUGACAUUGCGUCGCCAAGCCUUGACUUUGCCAAGCUGUGAUAGCGCCAGUCAUAUGGAGUGACACAUAAUUUAUCUGCAACACCCUUCGGCCUGCGGACUAGAACUCUACAAGCUUGCUCGGACAUCUGCAUCACAGCGAGACUGUGCAUGGCAACGUCGCUUGUCGCCUUAACGUCGAGCUCUCCAGCUGCAACAAGCCUCAAGCUGACACUGCGCCCAAGGAGCUGCAGUCGCAUGGACGACGACGACCCGGGACAGGUCGUUGGGCCCCGCUGGCCGCCGGGUGCCCCGGACGACCUGACCGUUCCCAUUAUCACCUCGUCUGAACCGGUGCUUGGUCCCAGGACUCGGGAGCACGCGACUGCAAGCCAACGCUGGUGUCGCCCCUUCCGGGCGGUUUGGAAUGCGCUGUCAGCUGUUGUCCACGUGGUGGUGCUGGGUGAGUGCUGUGAGGAAUGAAGCGACGGAGAGCGGGCGUCUGGCUGUGACGGCCAACAAGCGUUGCUGCAGGGGCCCGGAAUGGGGACUGUCCCACAUGGAGGACGAAACGUCUAACAAACCCAGUGUGCUGUGCCCGCAUUGACAGUUCUCCUUUGGUCUGCAUUGCGAACAAGAGCAUGGGCGCGGUCUGGACACACGGGGUUGUAUCUACGUCUGGCCCAGCCCGUCGCUGUGUCAGGUUGAACUGACUCCAAACGCGCCGCUCCUCGCCUAUCCCCAUGCAGUGUUUAAGAUCAUCCACAUUGUGUUGGCUCUAGCGGUCUACUCCAUGCUGCUGCUCCCAGGCUUUCUGCGGGUGAGGCAUAGCGCAUGUCGGGAUGGGUGGGUGGGGGCUAGGGUGGGGGUGCGGGGCACUGCAGCGUGGUCCCGCGUGCACGUUACGCGGUUACGUUGCAGUCAGCCGGCACUACCCAUUGCGCAUGUUGACCCCUGUCACCAACACCAAUGCCUCGCAGAUGAUAUACUACUACUUCUUCAACAAGUGUGUCGUGCGCGGCGUGUUGUACGGCGACAAGGUGUGUAUGUGUGUGUGAUAAAAGGGAAACGAAAGCCCGCCCACAGAGUGUGUGUUAAAGAGCACAAGAAAAACAUUACAGAGUGUGUGUGUGUGUGUGUGUGUGUGUUGGCCGGGGUUUGUGAAGGGUGUUCAAGUAGUCAAGUCCCAAACCCAGCCAACCGAGGCUCAAUGCUCGAAGCCAGCCCACAGAGUGGGGGCUGCGGAUGCGCGGGGAUUGUUGAUGCGGUCGGUGUCCGGUCGCGUGUUGCCUCCUGACGCUUUCGGCCUGUACCCACCCGCCGUGCAGCCCCGCCAGCGCUUGGAUCUCUACUACCCGCCCAGCAGCCGCGGCGCCCCGGCUACCACCGAGGGUGCCACGUACCCACUUGUCAUCUACGUCACUGGUGUGUGCGCGCGUGGGCGCGCAUGGGCGUGGACGGGCGCGCAUGGGCAUGCAACCUCCUUUGUCUGCACUCAUUUAACAGUGCGCUUCCCCAGGGAUGGCGCUACUUGCCCCUGCGCUUCCCGAGCACGCAGCGCCUGCCUGUAGCGUCACUAUGCUUACUAAACCUAACUCAUUUCGUCGAAUACAGGCGGCGCGUGGACCAUCGGCUACAAGGCCUGGGGCGCGCUGCUGGGCCGCCGCCUGAGCGAGCAGGGCGUGCUUGUUGCGUGCCUGGACUACCGCAACUUCCCCCAGGGGGACGCGCUCGACAUGCUGGAGGACGUCAACACCGGCAUCUGCUGGGUGCUGCGCCGCGUGCACCGCCUGGGCGGCGACCCCGACAACGUGACGCUGGUGGGCCAGAGCGCCGGCGGCCACCUGGCGGGUCUGUCGCUGCUGCGCCAGGCGGAGCAGGCGGCCAGCGGGCGGUCCGCGCUGGGCGCCACUCCGUCCUGGUCGCCGGGCUGCAUCAAGGCGUUUGUGGGCGUGUCGGGCGCGUUCGACCUGGUGGGACUGGCGUCGCACCGUGGCGGCACGUUCCGUGGGCUCCUGGAUCGCAUCCUGGCGGUGGAUGCCAGCGGCAUGAGCAGCGCUGAUGGCGGCGGAGGCGGCGCGGCCCGUGGCGUGGUGCAGGGCAUCGUGACCACAGCGGCGGUCAGUGCGUCGGAGGUGGCGGCGGCCGCCACGCUGUCGGCUGAGGACCGCGACGCCCCACCGCCUGGGGGGCCAGCGGUGCCCCCGGCGCUGCCUGACAUUGAGCAGGGCGGCGGCGGCGGCAGCGCUGCUGUGUCCUCUGCCAUCAUCGCCCAAGGAUCCGACAAGCACGGCGAGACGCCGCUGCUGCGGUCGCCCGUCAGCAGCUCAGCACCAGGCAGCCUUGCUGAUGGGCAGGCGCCAGCAGGUGCGGCGGCAGGUGGCGCGAUGGCGGGCACUCGCAGGGGUGGCACCCGGGUGCCCGCCUACGACGCGCUGUCGCCCCUGGAGGCCGCCCGCCGCAUGGGCUCCGACGCGGCGGCGCUGCUGCCGGAUGUGCUGCUGGUGCACGGCACUGCGGACAAGACCGUGCCGUGUGAGGGCAGUGCGCGGCUGGCGGAGGCGCUGCAGGUAGGGUGGGGCGGGCAGUGGCACUUGUGGUCAUGUGCACUCUCGAAUGCGGGCACACACCGUAUCACAUGACUUAUGUAGCUGACCGCGUACACAUGUCCUACUCGCAGGCUGCCGGCGCUACCCGCCCUGUGCGCUGCGUGCUUGUGCCCGGCAAGACGCACACGGCCUUCCUGCUGGAGGACCCCAUGCGUGGAGGCCGCGACCUGCUCAUGGACUGCGUGCUGGGGGCCGUGCUGGGGGGAGGCGAGGACGACCCCGCUAUUGGGGGCCGGGUGUACAGCAGCCUGUGCCCCGGCU
RNAcentral lists this long non-coding RNA (4522 nucleotides) under Chlamydomonas reinhardtii. RNAcentral describes it as "long non-coding RNA (CREI_LNC000174)". The record is from RNAcentral. Lineage: Eukaryota; Viridiplantae; Chlorophyta; Chlorophyceae; Chlamydomonadales; Chlamydomonadaceae.